Molecule: long non-coding RNA, 245 nt
Organism: Nothoprocta perdicaria
Lineage: Eukaryota; Metazoa; Chordata; Aves; Tinamiformes; Tinamidae
Exons: 2
Source: RefSeq, a predicted model, not a curated record
UCUCUCCAGAGGAGCCUGGAACAAAUCUGAAAGGAGGGAAUGCAGAACAAGCUAAGGCAUAACAAGGAUUUGGAUUUCAUGUACAGCACCUAGUUGUAGGUCUCUAGGGGUUUGCUUCUGUUGCAUCCGCAUUGUGCAGCCUAGGAGGACUCCAUCUCCUCAAGGGAGAGUCACAACCUUCAUUCACAUCCUAACUCCAUUUUGGAAUCAGAGCUGGGUACACAUCCUUCUCCUUCCACCUCUCU